RNAcentral lists this small nuclear RNA (59 nucleotides) under Pestalotiopsis fici W106-1. The record is from RNAcentral. Lineage: Eukaryota; Fungi; Ascomycota; Sordariomycetes; Amphisphaeriales; Sporocadaceae.
GCCUUCGGGCAUUUGGUCAAAUUGAAACGAUACAGAGAAGAUUAGCAUGGCCCCUGCAC